This is a long non-coding RNA of Manihot esculenta (cassava), 1601 nucleotides long. RefSeq lists it as uncharacterized. The record is from RefSeq and is a predicted model, not a curated record. The transcript is spliced from 2 exons. NCBI's taxonomy places the organism in Eukaryota, Viridiplantae, Streptophyta, Magnoliopsida, Malpighiales, Euphorbiaceae.
AUGUAAUUUCUCCCGGCGUGAGUACUGUUAAAACUGCGAAAGCCACAUCUCUGGACUGUGUUUUUCAUGGGUAGGCCCGCGCAGUUAGUCAAGCCGGUCCGCCUCUCUUCGUAGGGCUGGGUCAAACGAUAUUGGGCUGGCCUACUUGCGAGUGGUUUGAUGGAAUUUGGACCCGUAACCUUCUCCGGAACUAAGUCUCGUCCAGGGAAGCCCGGCGGUCACCGGGCACUAUGCAUGGGAACAAGUAAAAUUUUUUUAAGAAACGUCAAAACAAUCAAUUCAAGCGGAAAGGGUCUAUAGAAGAGGAAAAUGGAACAAUUUUAGACCUGAAGAAUCUUCAGGGAAUUCGCUUCCUGUUGAUACUGUUUAUCAAAUGCUCUAUCCUUAAGGAAAAAUUAGGGUGUUUACUGUUUAGUAUUAUUGGGAAGGGUGGAAGCAUAAUUAAAGCCCUAAGGGAAGAGAAAAAGCCAAGAUUAUGGUUGCUGAUUUAGUUCCUGGUUCAGAUGAAAGAGUAAUUAUUAUUUGUAGUUCUCCUGAAAAUAAUUCAAGGAACCAUAACAGUGAUGAGGAUUCAGCUAUAGAGAAUGAACAGGAUACCAUAGAGCCUCAUUGUGCUUCUCAGGAUGCUCUUAUGAAAGUUCACGAAAGGAUUCUUGAUGAAGAUUUUUUUGGUGGAAUGACAUCUGAUUAUAAUAAUGAGCUGUAUUGUCACAGCACGACUUUUAGUUCCAAAUAAUAUGGUUGGAUGUCUUUUAGGCAAACGUGGAAUUGCCAUCUAAAGAUUGCGAGUCUUACUUCAGAUCAUCUUCCCUGUUGUGCUAUGAGCAUUGAUGAAUUGGUAAAGUUGCUGGAACAAGGACAAAGCUACGAGAUCCUCCGACUGUGGCCCUGAAAAUUUUGUUGAAUCCCGUCGAUCUUCUGAGUGUCUGAAUGCUGCACAAAGCUUUCUCCAAACCUUUGUGGCUUCUUCUGGUCGGUACAUGAAUGCCCAACAAGGUUCCUACCAAAACAACACAACUGCAUAGCAAAGCUCCUACCAGAAUGUGAAUUCUCAGCAGAGCACCUAUCAAAACAUGUAUGGUCUGCAUAUCCUAUAUCAGAGCAUGAAUGUGCAGCAGCAGAGGCCCUAUUCCUCGACUGCUCAGCAAGGUGUCUACAUGAAUGCCAUUGCUGCUCAGGCUACCUACCAAAACACUAGUUCGCAGCAGGGCACGUAUCACUACUGAUUGCAAUUUGUGAAUUUUUGUAACCAUACUUUUCUUUCAGAUUCUUAAUUACAAUGGCGGAUCAGCCUGCCUAAGGGACAGGAUAAAGUAAAGGUCAUUUAGUGCGAGACUUUCUCCUAGGCUCUUUGAGGUGGUGAAGGAAAAUUUGUGGCUGAGCCAUGCUUGUGCAAAUUGUUUAACAUCUCAUCAAAGUAGAGGAAUAUACGAAGAUUUUUCUGAUACUAGAUCUGUGUAGAGAAUUCAAAUGUUAUUGUUGUUUCAAAACUGAAUCAUUAAUUUCUGCUUAGGAAUUAGAAUCCGUUGGAGUUCAAUGUAAUUAGUAGUUUGAGCUUUCUCUGCCUUGCUAGGUACAAGUUUCCUGGAUCAAUUCUGUUU